Molecule: long non-coding RNA, 3019 nt
Organism: Coffea eugenioides
Lineage: Eukaryota; Viridiplantae; Streptophyta; Magnoliopsida; Gentianales; Rubiaceae
Exons: 3
Source: RefSeq, a predicted model, not a curated record
GUUUUAUUUCGCAGAAGCAGAACAACUUGAAAGAAGCGCCACUCUCUGCUUCAUUCGCUUGCAGUGGGACUGGGAGAGGAACAGAUUGGUUUCCGAAGAGACAAGGAGUCAAGGGCAAGAAACUGAUGCUGUUUCUAGUACAAUAUUCUGAUAUAAAGCAAGCUUGAUUGAGUUCUUUCCUUGGUGUAAUUGUGUUUGUCAAGGAAGCAAGGUACACUAAGGCAAGAAACCCUUUGAUUUUUCACAAGGCAGGUCUAGCUCUUUCCCUGUGCAAGUUGUUUGCAACAUGCAAUAUUUUUUCUUGUUUACUUGGUUGAAUCCAACCUUUAUUUUCUCUUUCCUUGGCAGGUAAGAAUUUUCGUGUCUGAGUUAUAGCACAUUUUGUUUGAGGAAAAUUAUAUAUCAACUUGCAUUUAAUAGAUGACUAUCAAUGAAGAUUAUCUAGACAUAUGGUUGGCCUCACGUGUGUUUUGGUUUCUGAUUUGUGCACUAAUCUGCAUUUUCUGAAUAGCAAACACAAGGCCUUGCCCAUUUCUUUGUUUCUUGGUUCAUUACAUGUAGCUUAUACUUAUCCUUACUUUGGUCUAUACUGCUCUCUUUUCGUGACUAGCCGCUACACUGCAGAGAACCGUUUCAAUUGUUUUAGAAAGACUAUUUUUGUUGGUUUCAUUAGAGAUCUUGAUUGUUUCAGUUAGGUCUAAAGAAUCUUAUUGAAGCAUCAAUUUUUUGUGUCAAGGCAGAGAAAUAUACUCUAGUUCACAUUAUGGGUAGUUGUCUUUGAUUGAAGCAUCAUCCAUUCCUAAAUAGGGACAUCUUUGUCCACCUAUGAAAUACAGUUGCCAAGUCAAAAUUACUACCACCUGUCAUUCUUUGAAAAUUGGAAGCAUAAGAAGCAAUGUCAUGUAUUUAUAUACUUAUUUAAUACGCAAACAGACAUAUAAACAUAUUUUUGUAAGUACUUGUGUCCACUUUCUGAACUACUUGAUUGAGUGUUAAAAAAACUGUCGUUGUCUGCACAUGAAAAGUUUAUGGAUCUAGUGUACUUGUGCUUUGAGCUUAAUUAACUCCUUGGUUGGCGUUUCACCUCUUGAACUGUAAAGUGUAGAGAUUUUUUAAUGAUCCAAUAUGGGAAGCAUCUUUUUUGGACCUUUUGAAAUUCUACAAGUUUUUAAUCUUAUAGUAAUUCUUAAGUACCUUCGAGAAGUGCCUUGUCUGCCAGUUGGAAAGACUUUGCCAAAAGUGCAUGUAUUCUCUUGCUAGCCUGGAUAAAUAUUAGAGAUUGUUUCUUGACUCUUGGAAAUAUAUAGCCCUUAAGUUAUCUUCAGAGGUACUCUAUAUGAUACAGGCAUCUAACGUUCUUUUAUUAAGUAUAUGUGGCUAGAGGUGGAUGAGUAGACUUUGGUGAAAAAUACACAGUCUUUAUGAUUAUCAAGGUACAUACAGAUUUCUUGGUCAACUGUUUUUCGAUGAUUCUCCAUAAUUUUAACUUUUUAAGAUAUUUCCUUGUCUAAAUUGUAGCUUUUGUUCAUUGUUAGGCUCGUUCCAUAGAUUAGAAUCCCCUUUCAACGAAUAUGUAAAAGCUAAAAUUGAGCAGUUAGUGUUGCACAUAAUAGUGGAACUAAAGCAAUGUAGUCUGCGACUCCAUUUAGUGUUGCUCUGAUAUAAAACUUUGCUUCAUGAGUUCUACAUUAUACUUCCAGUUAAUUCGGACUACAAUGAACAAUUAAAACUAAGCUCGAAACAACCGUUGAAGGCAUGAUGUGUGUAUAAUUAUUAACUGUUGAUUGGAAGAAAGUUUUUCAGGUAAAAAAUCCAUGUCCUGUAUUCAGAUGAUUUGAAAAUUAUGUCCUAUCUUUCAAACCUGUAAAAAGUAACUUACUAAUAUUUCUCCCUUGAGGACAUGUUUGUUGAAGUCAGAAAAUGGGACUGCUAUUGAUGAUAAAUCAUAGAUAGAAGAUAUUAUUGCACGCGAUGCAAUGCAAAUAAAUGAAUAACUAAAGUUGCCUGUUUAUUUUGUACUUCAGCAUGUGUCUUUCUAUGUCUUGUCUUAGAGCAUUUGAUGAGAACUUUCGAGUGAAUCAUAUUUCUGAUCACUAACUUCUAAAGAAAAGCCUUUGGUUAAAACAAAAGAGCAAUUUUCAGAGCAGAAAAACUUGUCUUGCUUGUUUCAAAGAGGUUUUGUGAGCUAACCACAAGACUUAAUGAUUUACAUAAUGGAUUAGAAAACAUGCCCAGCAUAUGAAGUUUCCUGUAAAAAAAAAAAAAAUUUGUUUAUGUAGUUUGCUCUUACAGACAUCCUACUUACCUGUGAAUAUUUCACUUUACCAGUGUGUGUCUAUUACUAUUAUGUUUUGUUCAUAUCUGUCCAAGAAGAUACAGAUCUUUCUUCUUGGUGGUUGUUUCUUUCUUUUUUCAGUAAAGCAUAAUUCACCAGCAUUAAAGAGUAUCUGUUUUCAAGGAAUUCAUUCAUCAAAAUUCAUGAGUAUAAACGAACCGAAAGCUUGUUUAUGAUUUUUUUGUCUUCCAUUAGGAUGGAUAAGGAUGUAGAGGUGUGAUUUUCAUUUCGUUGAUGACAUAUUUAAGUUUGUUGCUGUACUUGAGUGGUUACUUUUCAGAUCUGUCAUGAUGAUUUUAGGAACCAUAGCAUGUUUGAAGACACAAAUCAGCCAGAGACUUUGAACUCCGUGGAAAUAUUUGGGUGCCGUAGGAUCUAAAACGUCCAUCAUACGAUCUUCCUUUGAAAAAUGGAGUCAUGAAGUUAGGGUUUACGAGUCACGACCACUCGUACACCUAAUUUUCUAUAUUUAGAGCUCUUCAUGAUUUCAUGCCUGUUUAUAGAGGGUGGUGGCAAUCAGUAGAUGUAUUAAAUAUUAAAAGUGUCGAGCCAUUUGGAUUGUGGGUGUGGAACGGCAUAUCUUAUCUGAUUUCUUGGAUGGUAGAGGAGGAUCCGAUGUUGAUACACUUAUUUGUCUCAUCCUGAACUUCUCUCAUUAUAUGCUAAUGAAUUCUUUCGUACUGA